Molecule: non-coding RNA, 649 nt
Organism: Plutella xylostella (diamondback moth)
Lineage: Eukaryota; Metazoa; Arthropoda; Insecta; Lepidoptera; Plutellidae
Source: RefSeq, a predicted model, not a curated record
UGCUGUCUGCGCUGUCUGCGCGCUGCUGUCUGCGCUGUAUGCGCGCUGCUGACUGCGCUGUAUGCGCGCUACUGUCUGCGCGCUGCUGUCUGCGCUGUCUGCGCGCUGCGGUCUGGUGGUCGCGCAGGCAACCGCCUGACGCGGGUGCACAACACGCACGCUGUGUGCGCAUGAUGCGCGCUACCGUUGGCCAUAGACGGCUGACGUGGAAGAUGCAUCGAGGGGCAUUCACAAGUACUUCAAACCGCUCUCGACGGGAUCUCACGCAGAAAUGCGAUGAGUGGCUUUGACUUUCAUUCAUAACUUUAUUAAUUUGUUUGAAUGCUAACAAAGAUUUUGAAGUGCUGAGUUUUGGAUUGCCUAGAGCGUGGUGUUGAAGACGUUGCGGUCGAGGACGUCACGCCGUCAGGAAAGGCCGUGUUACAAAUAUAACUCCGAGCCUCAGAAUAAUAACAGGAAGCAAUCGUAUUUACACCGCGACGACGUACUCUGUGGUCGGCAGAUAAGCCAUGGCGGGAAACGUCAAAAAGGAGAUGUCAAUGUCAUUGUCAAGAAAGGGGGGAGUUGAUUUGAAUAUGGAGUCGUGUUCUUGUAUUUUCUGAUUUAAUUUGUUUGUUAUCGAUAUAAAUCCUCAUGUUUUCAAGUUGUA